Molecule: long non-coding RNA, 252 nt
Filed under: Linum usitatissimum (flax)
Lineage: Eukaryota; Viridiplantae; Streptophyta; Magnoliopsida; Malpighiales; Linaceae
Description: long non-coding RNA (LUSI_LNC004043)
Source: RNAcentral
AAAAACAACGUAAAACCGAAAUAAGGGUAGGUUAAUAAUAAAAUUUUAAAUUCUCUAACUUUAAUUGAUAUUUGAAAGUAAAAAUAAAGCCCGAAAUAUCGAAUCUUCCAAGUAUGAAAAUUGAUUUAACGUGUUUAAUUUUGAUAACGUUAAUGUAAUGACAAUGAAAGCAUUGAAUCACUAAAAAUGUUUGCGCCAAACACAUCCGAAUCUAGGUUCGUUUCUCGUCCAACGGCAUAUUUCUAAUUUUGG